UACGGAGGGUGCAAGCGUUAAUCGGAAUUACUGGGCGUAAAGCGCGCGUCGGUGGUUUGUUAAGUUGGAUGUGAAAGCCCCGGGCUCAACCUGGGAACUGCAUCCAAAACUGGCAAGCUAGAGUACGGUAGAGGGUGGUGGAAUUCCCUGUGUAACGGUGAAAUGCGUAGAUAUAGGAAGGAACACCAGUGGCUAAAGCGACCACCUGGACUGAUACUGCCACUGAGGUGCGAAAGCGUGGGAAGCAAACAGG
This 253-nucleotide unclassified non-coding RNA is filed under the name uncultured Pseudomonadaceae bacterium. RNAcentral's name for it is "contains 16S-23S intergenic spacer region". It matches the Rfam family "Bacterial small subunit ribosomal RNA", at positions 524 to 776 of the family's 1533-position model. Lineage: Bacteria; Pseudomonadati; Pseudomonadota; Gammaproteobacteria; Pseudomonadales; Pseudomonadaceae. The record is from RNAcentral.